This 468-nucleotide ribosomal RNA is filed under the name uncultured bacterium. RNAcentral's name for it is "partial 16S ribosomal RNA". It matches the Rfam family "Bacterial small subunit ribosomal RNA", at positions 28 to 507 of the family's 1533-position model. The record is from RNAcentral.
GACGAACGCUGGCGGCGUGCUUAACACAUGCAAGUCGAACGGAAAGGCCCUGCUUGCAGGGUGCUCGAGUGGCGAACGGGUGAGUAACACGUGGGUGAUCUGCCCCUUACUUUGGGAUAAGCCUGGGAAACUGGGUCUAAUACUGGAUAGGACCAUGCUGUAGGUGGUGUGGUGGAAAGAUUAGUUUCGGUAAGGGAUGAGCUCGCGGCCUAUCAGCUUGUUGGUGGGGUAAUGGCCUACCAAGGCGUCGACGGGUAGCCGGCCCGAGAGGGUGGACGGCCACUCUGGGCCUGAGCGACGGCCCAGACUCCUGCGGGAGGCAGCAGGGGGGAAUAUUUCACAAUGGGCGCCAGCCUGAUGCAGCGACGCCUCGUGGGGGAUGACGGCCUUCGGGUUGUAAACUCCUUUCAGCCAUGACGAAGCCUUCGGGUGACGGUAGUGGUAGAAGAAGCACCGGCUAACUACGUG